AAUGAUAUAUUUGGGGUUUAAACCUGAAGGCCGUAGCCCAAUCUAGUCUCGGGAUUGCUUUGUUAUGACGAAUUUGCCCUCGUCGAGUUUGAUCCCUCCUCUUAAAUUUCCGAACGGGAAAAUGCAAUAAAACGGCGCCGCAUGGUUCAAGUAGGAGGGCGGCGGAGAUAAUUUGCUCCUCCACCACUGAUACAUACGCCACUAGGCUUCUUAUGAACAAGAAUUUACAAUCACUGAUUCUUUAGCAUUAUUUAUGACUUUCUAUUAGUUCUUUUUCUCACUCCACAAAAUUAGUUCUUGAUAAAUGAUAUAUUGUCUUUCCAGUUUCCAAUGAUUUUUCUUCUUGAAUAAUAAGAAACGUGUUAUCUACAAAAUAUGAAACCCAUGUGGUUAUUAUCUCUCCUAAUCAACUUAACGUGUAGACCUAAAACUAAAUAUGGAUAAACUAACAAAAUGUAAUUCUGUAUUAAUUCUUUAAUCUCCAAUAAGAUGUGUAAAGAAUAUUUUUUAAAGUAAAUAGAAAGACAUAGAUAGAUAAGAAUUGUCUGUGGGAAAGCAAGCAUAUAGAGGUGAAAAAUAGCAGGAAAGAAAAGAAUGAAAGAUGCAUGCAAUUUGAUCCAAAAAAAAAAGAUGCAUGCAAAAGAAAGGAUGGUUUAUUAAUGUUAAAGCGUGACAACUCCAUCCUUCUCAAUUUUUAUACGACGCGUCUAAAUCCUCUCCGUUCGUUUCUUAUUUCCAAUCAUUGUGAUGUGAUUGCUUCUUAUGAUUUGAUGCAUCCAUGCUCUUGUUUCUUAAUUUUUAAUUUGUGAUUUUGGUCAAAUCUUUAGUUAUUGUAGAAGACUUUCUUGGAAAUUUUCAAGUUAAAUAUGUAAUAUUUAAGUUUAAUUUUCAAUUGCAAAAGUAAUCUAAGACGACUUUCACCGACAGUGAGAAGACUUACGCCAACAAUUGAGAAAAAUUUUCGGAAAGUCUUCUGUUGGAAGACUUCUGUUGGAAGACUUGCUUGGAAGUCUUGCCUGGAAGUCUUCUAUGAAAAAAUUCCGUACACAAUUCAAUUAAUUGCAAAACUAACAUGCUUAUCUAAGAAGACUUCCAAAAAGUUCUUCUUUGAUAUUUUUUAGAUUUUUUAAAAACAAAAAGUAAAACAAUAUUUACAAAGGAAUACUUCAAUAAAAGUCUUUGGUAGAAAUAGACUUCUUUGGAAUUAUUUCUUUGUAAAAUUUCAGUUAAAAAAUGACAUAAAUGGUAGACUUUCUAGAAGUCUUUUGCCGGAAGACUUAUGUGAAAGUUUUAUAGGUCAAUGUUUAAGAAACUUUCAUUUUCUCUAAAAUUAUGAAGAUUUUUAAUAUUUUCUUGUUAAUUCAUGUAUAUUAAUCUAUGUUGGGGUUUGAAUGAAAUUCAUAAUUUAAUUGGUGAUAAUUAUGGGGUUACCAAAAUUUAUGUAUAUUAAUGUUUCUAGCUAAUGAUAGAACUUUUCUCGAAGUCUUUUAUGCUAGUUCUUAUAAAACAUGUAUUUUCAACUUGAAGAUAUAUGUUUUAAAUUUCAAAAGUGUUAAAUAACUUCAAAAAUAUCACGUCAUGUAGUUUAGUGUCUUUUUAGAUCAUAAGAUAUAUAUUUUUUACUUUCAUAAGACUGAAAAUUUCAAUUUUUACUUAGAUCAAUACUAUUAAAACAGAAAUACAAAUUUGGACCUAACUUAAUUAUAGGCGUAGUACUUAAAAAAAACUAUACUAUAUAUACUUUUUUGCCUAACUUAUAUUAUUACUAUCUUAAAAUAUAGCCUAACUAUGAAAAUAUUUUAAACUAACAAAUAUCCAUAAAUAUCUUUCUCUUAAAAGCAGGGAUCCCGCAGAUAAAUAUUUAAUAUUUUAAAAGUUAGAAGAUAAUUUAUUUUAGAUAAGAAAUCCAAUUAACUAUAUUUAUAAAUUUGAACCCAACGUCUAAUAUUUAAACAAGGAUAACAUACACAUUUUCUAUAUAGUUGCCGUGAAGUUAUUAUAUACUGUAAGAGUUUGUAUAUAAUUUAUUUUGAUUAUUAAAACCAAAUUCAAUAUAUAUAUAUAUAUUUAUAAAAGAUAAGAAGUAUAACUAUGUGAGAUAAGGAUUAAACUGAUUUUCUGAUAGAAUAAAUCACCAUAUAUUUUGAAAAGAUUUAAAUUUCAGCAAAUUUUAUUGAAAAUUAAAAAAAUGAUUUUUAAUCGAAUGAUUCAAAAUUAUCUGAAAA
This is a long non-coding RNA of Brassica rapa (field mustard), 2225 nucleotides long. RefSeq lists it as uncharacterized. The record is from RefSeq and is a predicted model, not a curated record. Lineage: Eukaryota; Viridiplantae; Streptophyta; Magnoliopsida; Brassicales; Brassicaceae.